Molecule: ribosomal RNA, 254 nt
Filed under: uncultured bacterium
Lineage: Bacteria
Description: partial 16S ribosomal RNA
Rfam family: Bacterial small subunit ribosomal RNA
Source: RNAcentral
UACGGGGGGAGCAAGCGUUGUUCGGAUUUACUGGGCGUAAAGGGCGCGUAGGCGGCCACCGCAAGUCGACUGUGAAAUCUCCGGGCUUAACCCGGAAAGGUCAGCCGAAACUGCGGGGCUAGAGUGCAGAAGGGGCAACUGGAAUUCUCGGUGUAGCGGUGAAAUGCGUAGAUAUCGAGAGGAACACCUGCGGCGAAGGCGGGUUGCUGGGCUGACACUGACGCUGAGGCGCGAAAGCUAGGGGAGCGAACGGG